This is a small nuclear RNA of Mesocricetus auratus (golden hamster), 160 nucleotides long. Its record names the gene U1. It matches the Rfam family "U1 spliceosomal RNA". From Rfam's summary of the family: U1 is a small nuclear RNA (snRNA) component of the spliceosome (involved in pre-mRNA splicing). The record is from Ensembl. Lineage: Eukaryota; Metazoa; Chordata; Mammalia; Rodentia; Cricetidae.
AUACUUAACUGGCAGGGAGAUAUUGUGAUCAUGAAGGUGGUUUUCCUGGGGCGAGGCUUAUCCACUGAACUCUGGAUGUGCUGAUCCUUGCAAUUUCCCCAAUUUGGGAAACUUGACUGCAUAAUUUGUGGUAGCAGGUGUCUGCAUUCAUGAUCUCCUC